RNAcentral lists this ribosomal RNA (497 nucleotides) under uncultured bacterium. RNAcentral's name for it is "partial 16S ribosomal RNA". It matches the Rfam family "Bacterial small subunit ribosomal RNA", at positions 28 to 507 of the family's 1533-position model. The record is from RNAcentral.
GAUGAACGCUGGCGGCGUGCCUAAUACAUGCAAGUCGAGCGAACGGACGAGAAGCUUGCUUCUCUGAUGUUAGCGGCGGACGGGUGAGUAACACGUGGAUAACCUACCUAUAAGACUGGGAUAACUUCGGGAAACCGGAGCUAAUACCGGAUAAUAUUUUGAACCGCAUGGUUCAAAAGUGAAAGACGGUCUUGCUGUCACUUAUAGAUGGAUCCGCGCUGCAUUAGCUAGUUGGUAAGGUAACGGCUUACCAAGGCAACGAUGCAUAGCCGACCUGGGAGGGUGAUCGGCCACACUGGAACUGAGACACGGUCCAGACUCCUACGGGAGGCAGCAGUAGGGAAUCUUCCGCAAUGGGCGAAAGCCUGACGGAGCAACGCCGCGUGAGUGAUGAAGGUCUUCGGAUCGUAAAACUCUGUUAUUAGGGAAGAACAUAUGUGUAAGUAACUGUGCUCAUCUUGACGGUACCUAAUCAGAAAGCCACGGCUAACUACGUG